UUCUGAUCAAAGACACAUGUAAUACCCAAUGAAAGUGUGUGUUGGUUGUGGGAGGAGUUGGAGGAGGGGAGAGAGGGAAAUAAUGUGAUUAUUAUAACCAAGGAAUAAUGUUCUAAAUUGACUAAACUCCUUCAAAUGAAAAAAUAAGGAAACUGAGUCUGAAAGAGUUUAAUAAGGAAGAGAAGCAGAGGCAUAGGUGAGAGAAUAGCAAUAAACCUUGGAUGAGGGGAGCCCUGGUGACAAAGAGGACACUGGAUUCUCUUUGUGGUCAAGGAGAGAUGGCAGUGAGAGGGGUAAAUUCACUCAGUUACCCAACUUCCUCUUAGGAGAGUACAGAGUCAAGGGUGACAAGCCUCACCUGGCUGAGAGUGAAGUUUGUUUGGGCCCCUUUGUCAUAGCAACAAGGGAUUGUUUGGUAACAGAGCCAGUGACUUCACAGAAGCUGGUCUUAAUUCCACAUUUCUGAAGCUCAGGGAAGAGCAGAGCCAGCCAGGAGAGAAUGUGGAGGCAGAGGAAGACAAUAGUUCCCUUGGAAGAGCUGUGACUACUAGAAAAGUACUGUCCUGUGCUGUAUCUACAUCAUCAUAUUUGAUAUUGCUUGUAGGAGCCGCUGUGAGCAGUCUUCACCACACCAUUCUCUUGGGCACACAUGGAUGUUUGCUUCAUUCAUUUACCUCCACCUUAAACACAUCCAUUCUCUUACAUUUGCCAUCUCCUCAUUUUUCUUUUGUGAGUAGAAAGCAUCAAUAAUAUAUGCAGGGGCAAGUUAUGCUGUAGGAUGAAACCUGCUUAAUGAUGGCUUCACCACUACCGUAUUUAUCUUCAUUUAUAUUCAUAUUUAUAGGUUAUCUCAUGUGAGAGGCUUAUUUCAGUGUUAGUAAUUUAGCCUUAACAUUUAAAUUCAAUCUUAAACCUCCUACUUCAUUUCCUAAAUUCAGAAUUACAUUUGGCUACAUUAUGCCCAUUUUGACAGUAUUUUGCCGUGUGGAGCGGUGUAAGCCAAGAAGCCAGAUUCAUCAGAACAACUGUUGCAUGUUCUAAAAUCCAGUAAAAUCGGUUUUAGAAUGGGUGGAAAUGUAAUGCUGCCGUUUGGACACAGGAUGGCAGACUAAAAUUGCAGUAUCUGAGAUGGCCACAAGAGGGCAAAAACCCUAAUUUUUUUUUUUUUUUGAAUUGCAGUAUCCUGGAGGGACACCAGAUGGAACCAGAAGACCAUGUUAUUUAAGUCAAUCAGUCAAAAACUGAAACCUUAAUUUAUAAUGAAAAAGUUUUUUAAAAAAAUAAACAAUCUAAAUGACUACUUUCCUGAGCCUGU
RNAcentral lists this long non-coding RNA (1315 nucleotides) under Monodelphis domestica (gray short-tailed opossum). Its description in RNAcentral is "lncRNA (ENSMODG00000036889.1)". The record is from RNAcentral. Lineage: Eukaryota; Metazoa; Chordata; Mammalia; Didelphimorphia; Didelphidae.